AAACCGUUCAGGGGUAAACCUGAGAAACCCAAAAGUUCGAACGGGGAGAUUCACCGUCAGCGGAGCAGGCUUCGCGGAGGUGCGUGAUGUCGCGGCGACCUCGGUCUCGCUUCACUGGUCCUCUGCGCAUGUCCGGCGACGUCGGCGUGCACUUCUCCUCUAGUAGGACGUCGCGACCCGUUGGGUGCCGGCCUACGGCCUCGGGGUGCUGCCCGUCGCUCCGCUUCGGCGCGCGCGACGAACCACCGGACCUGACACUCUGCUGGCCGGCGUGGACCUCCGACGGGCCGAAACGUGAACGAUACCGGUCAGCGACGCUAUUGCUUUGGGUACUCUCAGGACCCGUCUUGAAACACGGACCAAGGAGUCUAACAUGUGCGCGAGUCAUUGGGACUUGAAAGACCUAAAGGCGAAAUGAAAGUGAAGGUCGGCUUCGCGCCGACCGAGGGAGGAUGGGCCGCGUCACGAUGCGGCUCCCCACUCCCGGGGCGCCUCGUUCUCAUUGCGAGAUGAGGCGCACCCAGAGCGUACACGUUGG
Molecule: ribosomal RNA, 538 nt
Filed under: Chrysis ignita
Lineage: Eukaryota; Metazoa; Arthropoda; Insecta; Hymenoptera; Chrysididae
Description: eukaryotic LSU rRNA
Rfam family: Eukaryotic large subunit ribosomal RNA
Source: RNAcentral